Molecule: ribosomal RNA, 2195 nt
Filed under: Salmonella enterica subsp. enterica
Lineage: Bacteria; Pseudomonadati; Pseudomonadota; Gammaproteobacteria; Enterobacterales; Enterobacteriaceae
Description: partial 23S ribosomal RNA
Rfam family: Bacterial large subunit ribosomal RNA
Source: RNAcentral
AGACCCGAAACCCGGUGAUCUAGCCAUGGGCAGGUUGAAGGUUGGGUAACACUAACUGGAGGACCGAACCGACUAAUGUUGAAAAAUUAGCGGAUGACCUGUGGCUGGGGGUGAAAGGCCAAUCAAACCGGGAGAUAGCUGGUUCUCCCCGAAAGCUAUUUAGGUAGCGCCUCGUGAAUUCAUCUCCGGGGGUAGAGCACUGUUUCGGCUAGGGGGCCAUCCCGGCUUACCAACCCGAUGCAAACUGCGAAUACCGGAGAAUGUUAUCACGGGAGACACACGGCGGGUGCUAACGUCCGUCGUGAAGAGGGAAACAACCCAGACCGCCAGCUAAGGUCCCAAAGUCAUGGUUAAGUGGGAAACGAUGUGGGAAGGCCCAGACAGCCAGGAUGUUGGCUUAGAAGCAGCCAUCAUUUAAAGAAAGCGUAAUAGCUCACUGGUCGAGUCGGCCUGCGCGGAAGAUGUAACGGGGCUAAACCAUGCACCGAAGCUGCGGCAGCGAACGUAUCACCCAAGACAACUUUACGGAGUUGACGAUUGACGGAGCGAAGCGACGUCAAAGCGUUCAUUAAAGUCGAGUUGGCUUAGGGAUACGUUCGUUGGGUAGGGGAGCGUUCUGUAAGCCAGUGAAGGUGUGUCGUGAGGCAUGCUGGAGGUAUCAGAAGUGCGAAUGCUGACAUAAGUAACGAUAAAGCGGGUGAAAAGCCCGCUCGCCGGAAGACCAAGGGUUCCUGUCCAACGUUAAUCGGGGCAGGGUGAGUCGACCCCUAAGGCGAGGCCGAAAGGCGUAGUCGAUGGGAAACGGGUUAAUAUUCCCGUACUUGGUGUUACUGCGAAGGGGGGACGGAGAAGGCUAUGUUGGCCGGGCGACGGUUGUCCCGGUUUAAGCGUGUAGGUGUGUGUUCCAGGUAAAUCCGGUUCACUUUAACACUGAGGCGUGAUGACGAGGCACUACGGUGCUGAAGCAACAAAUGCCCUGCUUCCAGGAAAAGCCUCUAAGCAUCAGGUAACAUCAAAUCGUACCCCAAACCGACACAGGUGGUCAGGUAGAGAAUACCAAGGCGCUUGAGAGAACUCGGGUGAAGGAACUAGGCAAAAUGGUGCCGUAACUUCGGGAGAAGGCACGCUGACACGUAGGUGAAGUGAUUUACUCAUGGAGCUGAAGUCAGUCGAAGAUACCAGCUGGCUGCAACUGUUUAUUAAAAACACAGCACUGUGCAAACACGAAAGUGGACGUAUACGGUGUGACGCCUGCCCGGUGCCGGAAGGUUAAUUGAUGGGGUCAGCGCAAGCGAAGCUCCUGAUCGAAGCCCCGGUAAACGGCGGCCGUAACUAUAACGGUCCUAAGGUAGCGAAAUUCCUUGUCGGGUAAGUUCCGACCUGCACGAAUGGCGUAAUGAUGGCCAGGCUGUCUCCACCCGAGACUCAGUGAAAUUGAACUCGCUGUGAAGAUGCAGUGUACCCGCGGCAAGACGGAAAGACCCCGUGAACCUUUACUAUAGCUUGACACUGAACAUUGAGCCUUGAUGUGUAGGAUAGGUGGGAGGCUUUGAAGCGUGGACGCCAGUCUGCGUGGAGCCGACCUUGAAAUACCACCCUUUAAUGUUUGAUGUUCUAACGUGGACCCGUGAUCCGGGUUGCGGACAGUGUCUGGUGGGUAGUUUGACUGGGGCGGUCUCCUCCUAAAGAGUAACGGAGGAGCACGAAGGUUGGCUAAUCCUGGUCGGACAUCAGGAGGUUAGUGCAAUGGCAUAAGCCAGCUUGACUGCGAGCGUGACGGCGCGAGCAGGUGCGAAAGCAGGUCAUAGUGAUCCGGUGGUUCUGAAUGGAAGGGCCAUCGCUCAACGGAUAAAAGGUACUCCGGGGAUAACAGGCUGAUACCGCCCAAGAGUUCAUAUCGACGGCGGUGUUUGGCACCUCGAUGUCGGCUCAUCACAUCCUGGGGCUGAAGUAGGUCCCAAGGGUAUGGCUGUUCGCCAUUUAAAGUGGUACGCGAGCUGGGUUUAGAACGUCGUGAGACAGUUCGGUCCCUAUCUGCCGUGGGCGCUGGAGAACUGAGGGGGGCUGCUCCUAGUACGAGAGGACCGGAGUGGACGCAUCACUGGUGUUCGGGUUGUCAUGCCAAUGGCACUGCCCGGUAGCUAAAUGCGGAAGAGAUAAGUGCUGAAAGCAUCUAAGCACGAAACUUGCCCCGA